This 75-nucleotide transfer RNA is filed under the name Candidatus Wolfebacteria bacterium RIFCSPLOWO2_01_FULL_38_11. RNAcentral describes it as "tRNA-Thr". It matches the Rfam family "tRNA". Rfam says of the family: Transfer RNA (tRNA) molecules are approximately 80 nucleotides in length. Their secondary structure includes four short double-helical elements and three loops (D, anti-codon, and T loops). Further hydrogen bonds mediate the characteristic L-shaped molecular structure. tRNAs have two regions of fundamental functional importance: the anti-codon, which is responsible for specific mRNA codon recognition, and the 3' end, to which the tRNAs corresponding amino acid is attached (by aminoacyl-tRNA synthetases). tRNAs cope with the degeneracy of the genetic code in two manners: having more than one tRNA (with a specific anti-codon) for a particular amino acid; and 'wobble' base-pairing, i.e. permitting non-standard base-pairing at the 3rd anti-codon position. The record is from RNAcentral. Lineage: Bacteria; Candidatus Wolfeibacteriota.
GCCACCCUAGCUCAAUGGCAGAGCAAUACUUUUGUAAAGUAGAGGUUCGGGGUUCAACUCCCCGGGGUGGCUCAA